UACCAGCUCUCCGAGUUGUAGGGAUGAUUAUUGGGCCUAAAGCGUUCGUAGCCGGCUUAGCAAGUCUCCUGUUAAAUUCAGCGACCUAAUCGCUGAGCCGCGGGAGAUACUACUAGGCUAGGAGGCGGGAGAGGUCGACGGUAUUUCUGGGGGAGGGGUGAAAUCCUAUAAUCCUCGGAAGACCACCAGUGGCGAAGGCUGUCGACCAGAACGCGCUCGACGGUGAGGGACGAAAGCUGGGGGAGCAAACCGGAUUAGAUACCCGGGUAGUCCCAGCUGUAAACGAUGCGGGCUAGGUGUUGAAGUUGCCACGUGCUACUUCAGUGCCGCAGGGAAGCCGUUAAGCCCGCCGCCUGGGAAGUACGGCCGCAAGGCUGAAACUUAAAGGAAUUGGCGGGGGAGUACCACAAGGCGUGAAGCUUGCGGUUCAAUUGGAGUCAACGCCGGGAACCUUACUGGGGGUGACAGCAGAAUGAAGGCCAGAUUGAAGGUCUUGCUAGACAAGCUGAGAGGAGGUGCAUGGCCGUCGCCAGUUCGUGCCGUGAGGUGUCCUGUUAAGUCAGGUAACGAUCGAGACCCGCGUCCCUAGUUGCUACCGAAGAAGUCUUUCCAAAGGGCACUCUAGGGGGACUGCUGUCGAUAAGACGGAGGAAGGAGCGGGCCACGGCAGGUCAGUAUGCCCUGAAUCCCCCAGGCUACACGCGAGCUGCAAUGACAGGGACAAUGAGUUCCGACCUUGAAAAAGGAAGGCAAUCUUUAAACCCUGCCUCAGUUGGGAUCGAGGGCUGAAACUCGCCCUCGUGAACAUGGAAUGCCUAGUAAUCGCGCGUCAUCACCGCGCGGUGAAUACGUCCCCGCUCCU
Molecule: ribosomal RNA, 862 nt
Filed under: uncultured archaeon
Lineage: Archaea
Description: SSU rRNA
Rfam family: Archaeal small subunit ribosomal RNA
Source: RNAcentral